CGGGCACCUUCGCCCUUCCCGGGGCUGUCCUAGCGAUUAGAACUCUGGCAGUAAGGCCGGGCGUGGAGGGGGACGCAGUGAAAUGGUGGGGAAAUUUUUGUAAAAGUCAUUUCAGCGGCUUCCAACCCCAAGGAGGACGUACUUACCUGGGACUUGGGGCACAUACAACUUUCUCGACGCGAGUAGCUUCCCAGCCUCGUUGGUUCUGUCUCCGCUAGUAAAGAUACACUAGAGAGUCGAUUCUUGUGUUAAUCUGAGUCUACCCUUUCUCCCUCUCACUUUUUGCCAAAAAUGUCUUGCAUCAGAAGCAGGCAGGUGAAAGGAGGUCCUCCACUGAACGGUGUUUUCCAACCUGAUGGUUUUCCCUCUCGUUUUUGCUUUAAGAUCAAAGAGUAUUUGCAGUCUUCUUCGUGGGUGGCGAGAAGUAGAGGUCAAGAAGUGACGUCAGGAGGGAGAGGCGUUUGGAAUUGUUGGUUUUUAUCAAGACAGCUGGUUCCAGCCCAGAACUUCAACAUCGCCUUUACUUGGAAUCCACCCAUUUCUGUGAACAAUGGGAAACCUCAUCUCUCUUCUACCAAGAUCUCUCCAUGUCAGUGAAUGUUCAGUCAGCAUCUCCUCAACAUCUGGUUUCUCACAAGCACGCUGCGCAUAACGUUACAGGCCCCGGAAACAAAGAAGAGCCUCCCUGAGGAGGAGGAGCGCGAACAGAGGGCCAGAGCUCACUCCGAGGACCGUCCUAGACGACUGACAAGACGACACUAGGCUUUGAGCCCCUCUGACCUUCUCAUGCUUUCUCACUUUCUGUGCCCUGUCCCUCCAGGCAGCAGCCUCUCCUGCUCCCCACACCCAGCAAAGAAGGAGGCGUGUAGGCAGCAGCUGUGUGGCAAGUGAUCUGAUCGCGGUGCCGAGUUUGCCGAUCUGGGCGGUGAGAGCUGUUUUAAAAUUGUUAAUAUCUAGUGGGGUGACACUCUGAUUGAAAACACCUCCCUACCCUGUAAUUAAUUUGAAAUGUUUUGCUGUUUGUAAAAACAUUUUGUUCCACGUUUUGAUCUUCCCUUGUGUUUAAAGCUGUUAUUCUAGACUUGAGAGAAGUGUGAUUUUACGUUUGGGAUAAAUUGAGAAAAGAAAAAAAGUAAUACUCAAAAAACAGUCAAAUGUGGAGAAACUGGUACACAUUCUCAUACACUAUAAAUGUGAGUGCAAAUUGGGUAAAUCCCUUUAGAGGACAAUUUGGCAAAUUGGGGUAAAAUUAAUGUGUGUGUUUUUUUUGACAGUUACACAUCUAGGACUUUAUACUUUGGGUAUAUGUGUGCAAAAAGUAUGUAUUUCAGAGAUAUUUACAUAAACGUAUAAAAUAUAUGUUCAAGUAUGCUCGUUGCCACAUUGUUACAGAGGAAACGUAAUGGUGUAAAAGCCUAGUAACAAAAUCCCAGUAGGGAGCUGAUUAAACAAACUUAACUUAUUUUAUAAAAAUAAGAGAUCUAUUUGUACUGACAUGGAAGGAUGUCCAAACUCUGUAAGUGAAAAAAGCAAGUCGCAGGACAAUAUGAACAGUGUGGCCCCGUUUUUAUUUGUAUAUUCUGUCCGAAAAGUACGUUUAGAGGAACUCUGGAAAGAUACAUCACAAAGCGAUGACCAGUGGUUGUCUCUGGAUGCAGGGUUACUGGGGCCACGUGCUUUCUGUUACAAACUUCUGUCCGUUUGAAUUGUUUUUUUGUUGAGCACCUUUGAUAAUAAGAAAAGUAAUAAACAAAGCAUUUCAAAGAAAA
This is a non-coding RNA of Vicugna pacos (alpaca), 1769 nucleotides long. The record is from RefSeq and is a predicted model, not a curated record. Lineage: Eukaryota; Metazoa; Chordata; Mammalia; Artiodactyla; Camelidae.